Molecule: long non-coding RNA, 1483 nt
Organism: Scleropages formosus (Asian bonytongue)
Lineage: Eukaryota; Metazoa; Chordata; Actinopteri; Osteoglossiformes; Osteoglossidae
Exons: 3
Source: RefSeq, a predicted model, not a curated record
UAAGUACCCUGCUCGCAGGUAUUACAGCUGGAGAUGGGAAAUGAACCGAUCAACCCUCCGCUGGCUGCAAACACCACGUCUGCCCCGCGAGAACUGAAACAGUCCCUUCUUUUAAACCACAUUUAGGAAACGCUUCACAAAAAAUUACAUGUCAAAAAUUUUCCAAAACAAAAGUACAUGUAGCAAUAUUUUUAAAACAUAUUUUAUACGCUUUUUUAUUACUUCUGAGUCAUCGCUGACUUGGGUAAUAAUGACGUUUUAACAACUAGUCCUCAGACACUUGCGAAGUUAUUUAGCUUUUUACACUGAAUUAUCUUGGCACCAGAUUAAGCCGUGAUUCCAGACGCCUAAUUUUCCUGCUGCGUAUAAAACCAAUUUUGAUUCUUUUUUUCUGCGCGACUCCACUCGAGCAGAACUGUACGGAAUAUUGCUGGAAAGCGCGGUGCAGAAGAUGCUUCUUCUUGUUGGAUAUUAUUAGUUACACGAGUAGCGGCGGUGUAACUUCUUCACGGCGAACACACUUCAGGAGAGUGAACCAAACCAGGCCAGAUUUCCUUGACUUACACGCCGUCGAAGAACAAAUUCUCAUCCAGUUCUUCUGGACAUCAUCCAGACCAAAGCUUCAUUUCUCAGGACGACAGAACCGAGAGCGAGUGGUAGAUGCUUUCUGACAACUUUGGAUUUGGAUCAGCAGGUCUGUUCACCAGAAGACCACCUGUACAAGGCAUGUGACACCAGAGGCUCCCGGCCCAGUCUCGGUCCCUCGUACGAUGUGAACGAAUUACAAAGAUGCUAAUAUGCAUGCUUGAGUUAUUAGUUUUAAAUGUGUUUUCAACAUUUCUUUUUUUUUUUUUUUUCAGCAGGGUGGACGUCGUGGCGACGCACGGUGCGGAAAAGUGUGAAAUUGCAGGGGCCAUGUGUGUUUAUUAAAAACACAGCGGUGUGAAAUGACAUUCCGAGCUAUUUGAAAUGCGGAGACGUAAUUAACGGAGAUCCCGCCGCCCUGCGCUUUCGACUCGGAGAGACAUCUGCCAUUAGCGUCUCCUUUACAAUCAGGCCCGCAUUGUGUCUCAAAUAAUGUAGCUCCUAGAGCAAACGCGGGAAAACGAACCCUUUUUUCUAAUGGCUCACAAUGUGUGAAAAUUGUGGGGGGCGGGGCUUAAACACUAUAUCUGUCUUAUUCUGUUAUUCUGCUCGCUCCUCCUGCUUUUUUCUGACUGGCGCACACACACACACACACACACACACACACACACACACACACACACACACACACACACACACACACUCUUCUAUCUACUUUACACCUGCCAACACACCAAUGUCGUCUUUAACAAAAUACCUUCAUUUACAGGCACAAGCAAGAAUGGCACACGGGCGCUUCGGCAAAGUAAGGAAAUAAAAUACAGUUGAAAUUCCAGUCAAGGCACACUUUGUGCCAUCAUUAAUACCACUUGGGUGGAAAGGGGGGGGGGGGGGGGUA